RNAcentral lists this unclassified non-coding RNA (190 nucleotides) under Octopus sinensis (East Asian common octopus). Its description in RNAcentral is "uncharacterized LOC118765946, transcript variant X2". Lineage: Eukaryota; Metazoa; Mollusca; Cephalopoda; Octopoda; Octopodidae. The record is from RNAcentral.
CAACCAGAACAGAAACCGACAGAAUCGAUCGUUGUCUACUCUUGUUUCAACUAGUUUUAAUACAAUAUACAUUUCAGUUGAACGAAACAUCGAUUUGCCGUAUUGUGAUUCCGCCAGGUUACUUAAUCAUGUAUUGAGAAGACACUUGGCAAGAAAUGGAAACAAAACUGAAGGAAGAAGAUAAUAAUAA